AGAAUAAAUAAAUAAAUAAAAUGAGAAAUCCAUCAAUGGCAAUUUAAAAGACAUCGAAAAUUUGUACUAUUUUUUCACUAUGAAAAUUAUCCAGGUUAGAGGAAAGGAAAAAGAAAUUUGCAAGCCCAUGGAUCUUUCGAGUUUUAUCUAUUGAGCAAUGCAACCAAUUUUUUAAACUAUUGUUAACAGGUUUUUCCUUUUUCUAUUUUUGCCAUUAAAUAACUCCUUAAA
Molecule: unclassified non-coding RNA, 231 nt
Filed under: Hevea brasiliensis (rubber tree)
Lineage: Eukaryota; Viridiplantae; Streptophyta; Magnoliopsida; Malpighiales; Euphorbiaceae
Source: RNAcentral